UGGGGAAUAUUGCACAAUGGGCGAAAGCCUGAUGCAGCAACGCCGCGUGAGUGAUGAAGGUCUUCGGAUUGUAAAGCUCUGUCUUUUGGGACGAUAAUGACGGUACCAAAGGAGGAAGCCACGGCUAACUACGUGCCAGCAGCCGCGGUAAUACGUAGGUGGCAAGCGUUGUCCGGAUUUACUGGGCGUAAAGGGUGCGUAGGUGGAUAUUUAAGUCAGAUGUGAAACCCCUGGGCUCAACUCAGGGACUGCAUUUGAAACUGGAUAUCUUGAGUGCGGGAGAGGUAAGUGGAAUUCCUAGUGUAGCGGUGAAAUGCGUAGAGAUUAGGAAGAACACCAGUGGCGAAGGCGACUUACUGGACCGUAACUGACACUGAGGCACGAAAGCGUGGGUAGCAAACAGG
This 404-nucleotide ribosomal RNA is filed under the name uncultured bacterium. Its description in RNAcentral is "bacterial SSU rRNA". It matches the Rfam family "Bacterial small subunit ribosomal RNA", at positions 355 to 776 of the family's 1533-position model. The record is from RNAcentral.